RNAcentral lists this transfer RNA (69 nucleotides) under Melipona bicolor. Its description in RNAcentral is "tRNA-Met". The record is from RNAcentral. Lineage: Eukaryota; Metazoa; Arthropoda; Insecta; Hymenoptera; Apidae.
UAUAUAAUAAGCUAAUUUUAAGCUUUUAGGUUCAUACCCUAACGAUAAAUUUAAAAAAUUUUUAUAUAA